UAACGCGUGGGUAACCUGCCUCAUACAGGGGGAUAACAGUUAGAAAUGACUGCUAAUACCGCAUAAGCGCACGGGGAUGCAUAUUCUUGUGUGAAAAACUCCGGUGGUAUGAGAUGGACCCGCGUCUGAUUAGCUAGUUGGUGAGGUAACGGCUCACCAAGGCGACGAUCAGUAGCCGACCUGAGAGGGUGACCGGCCACAUUGGGACUGAGACACGGCCCAAACUCCUACGGGAGGCAGCAGUGGGGAAUAUUGCACAAUGGGGGAAACCCUGAUGCAGCAACGCCGCGUGAGUGAAGAAGUAUUUCGGUAUGUAAAGCUCUAUCAGCAGGGAAGAAAAUGACGGUACCUGAGUAAGAAGCCCCGGCUAACUACGUGCCAGCAGCCGCGGUAAUACGUAGGGGGCAAGCGUUAUCCGGAUUUACUGGGUGUAAAGGGAGCGUAGACGGCGAUGCAAGUCUGAAGUGAAAGCCCGGGGCUCAACCCCGGGACUGCUUUGGAAACUGUAUGGCUGGAGUGCUGGAGAGGCAAGCGGAAUUCCUAGUGUAGCGGUGAAAUGCGUAGAUAUUAGGAAGAACACCAGUGGCGAAGGCGGCUUGCUGGACAGUAACUGACGUUGAGGCUCGAAAGCGUGGGGAGCAAACAGGAUUAGAUACCCUGGUAGU
RNAcentral lists this ribosomal RNA (665 nucleotides) under uncultured bacterium. RNAcentral's name for it is "bacterial SSU rRNA". It matches the Rfam family "Bacterial small subunit ribosomal RNA", at positions 111 to 794 of the family's 1533-position model. The record is from RNAcentral.